This 325-nucleotide unclassified non-coding RNA is filed under the name Bdellovibrio sp. FJZZ3. RNAcentral describes it as "16S-23S ribosomal RNA intergenic spacer". The stretch from base 136 to 209 matches the Rfam family "tRNA". Lineage: Bacteria; Pseudomonadati; Bdellovibrionota; Bdellovibrionia; Bdellovibrionales; Pseudobdellovibrionaceae. The record is from RNAcentral.
UUAUCCGGUCAAUCUUCAUCAAGACUUGUUCUUGAUAAGUUAAAAUGACCCAAUCUUAGGUCAACUUACUCUUCCCGAGUAAGUGAGUCCCAAAAAUCUAUCUAGCUGUUUAGUUUUGAGAGAGUGAAGCCUAACGGGCCUGUAGCUCAGUUGGUUACAGCACACGCUUGAUAAGCGUGGGGUCGGAAGUUCGAGUCUUCCCAGGCCCACCAAGUUCUACUGUACUGGAAUGCGGUGUAAGUUAGAGUUUUGCUGAACGGUUUUCGUUCUUUGACAUUUGAAUAGAUUGAUUUAGUUGAUUUUUAGCGAGGUUAGUUCCAUUCUU